RNAcentral lists this ribosomal RNA (115 nucleotides) under Danio rerio (zebrafish). The record is from RNAcentral. Lineage: Eukaryota; Metazoa; Chordata; Actinopteri; Cypriniformes; Danionidae.
UCCGGCAGCUAGCUCUCUGCAACUCUCACAUGGUGGCCCUCUGAAGCUAGGAAGGGCUGUGCUUGAUCAGUACCUGGAUGGAAGACCACAUGGGAAAGCUAUGUUGCUGCCAAAA